This 253-nucleotide ribosomal RNA is filed under the name uncultured bacterium. RNAcentral describes it as "partial 16S ribosomal RNA". It matches the Rfam family "Bacterial small subunit ribosomal RNA", at positions 524 to 776 of the family's 1533-position model. The record is from RNAcentral.
UACAGAGGUCCCAAGCGUUGUUCGGAUUCAUUGGGCGUAAAGGGUGCGUAGGCGGCGCGGUAAGUCGGGUGUGAAAUCUCGGGGCUUAACUCCGAAACUGCAUUCGAUACUGCCGUGCUUAAGGACUGGAGAGGAGACUGGAAUUUACGGUGUAGCGGUGAAAUGCGUAGAUAUCGUAAGGAAGACCAGUGGCGAAGGCGGGUCUCUGGACAGUUCCUGACGCUGAGGCACGAAGGCCAGGGGAGCAAACGGG